GGGGGCAGCUGGGUCAGGCUGGACCGGGGCACUUCCUAGCGUGAUGACCGCCUUCUCAUGCGGGGGACUCUUGCCAGAUUUUUUUUUUUUUUUUCCCACUUAUUGCAAAUUUGCGCUAUUUCUACUUUGCCACUCUUUGUUUGGCCACACCCGCAGCAUGCAAAAGGUCUCAGGCCAGGGAUCAAACCUGGGCCACAGCAGUGACCCAAGCCACUGCAGUGACAACACUGGCUCCUUACCCCGCUGAGCCGUGAGGGAGCUCCAGCUCGUGUAUUUAACACAACUUUUUUUUUUUUUUUCUUUUGGCCACUACUUGUUAUGGCAACUUCGUGUUAUUUCUACUACAUGAGGGGAGAGGUUGCCUCUUUUGAAGCAUGGACUUUUUUUUCUACUCUUUUUUCUUAAGGAGGAUGGGGCUCCAUGUGGGAAGACAUCCCCUCUGACCACUGAGAUUUAUGUCUGUGGCUCUGAACCCAGCUCUGUGCUGUUCUUUAUUUGAUACAACAACCCAGUGUGUGGGGGGACUGUGCCUACCCCCUGCUCACGAAGGAGACAAGCGGGGCCAGAGAGGGCAGGGGAUCUGCCCCAAGUCACUCAGCUUGCUCAGGGUAGAGCUGAGAUCUGAACCCACGUACAGGUGUUUGCUCCCAGAGCUGGUGCUCUUCCGUGUCACGGUCCUCUUGACACGGAAGCCACGGCCCUGCCCACCCUCUGCGAGCCGCCUGAUCUCUCCUAGGGAUACUGAAAAGGCACAAAAGCUUGUCUGUGUUGUUGGAAGUAGUGAAAAGGUCAAAGCCGGUGCUCAGGUGAUGCGUUCAUGCUGGUUUCUACCAGAUUAUGAUUUCACUAAAUGUCACGUGUCCACAAGGGACAAAGGCCAUACCACUCCCAGCAGUUGAUGGUAUUUCCCAAAAGCAGUACUGGCGGCCUGUACGCUCUGUCCUGUACCUGCCAGCCCUGUGAUAAGGCAGCCCCACCUCUACUGCCAGGCUAGGGGUCAGAUUGGAGCUGUAGCCGCCGGCCUACGCCAGAGCCACACAGCAACGCUAUAUCCAAGCCUCAUCUGCCACCUACACCACAGCUCAUGGCAACACUGGAUCCUUGACCCUCUGAGCAAGGCCAGAGAUCGAACCCUUAACCUCAUGGUUCCUAGUCAGAUUCGUUUUUCCAUACGCCGCAAUGGGAACUCCUGUUUUUUCCCAUUUGGCUGGACCUGUGGCAUGCAGAAGUUCCCAGGCCAGGGUUUGAACCCAAGACAGACCGAACAGUGACAAUGCCGGGUCCUUAACCCACUGUGCCACCAGGGAGCUCCUCGGCAACCCUUUGGAAGGGACGCCAGAGGUGGAUCUUCGCCAAGAGAGAGAGAAAGGGAGGGCAGGGAGACGGCUUUUGCAGGAAGGUCCUCCUUCUCGGGGGUCCUCAACAGUGUCCUUGAACCCACUUUCUCUUUAUGGGACAGAAAUUGAUCUGCCUGGAACUGGGCCUCCCUUCGCCCCACCCUUGUGUCCAAAACACAGGAGGCCCGUUACCGUGGCAGCCACAGUCUUGGAGGUUUGAGACCGCCUUCCGACUGGACACACCUUUCAUUUGUUCUUUGUUUUGAGAAACGCCAAGUUCAUGUUUAACCUCUGCACGGUUAGAAGCAUAAUGAUCAAUGGCUCGUGUACCCAACACAGAGGUCCAGGACGGGUACCUUUGAAGACCUUGGCAAGACCCUCCCCAAAUGCCUACUCUUUUCCUCCCCCAGAGAGACUCCUCAUGCUCCAAUUUGCAUUAAUCUUUCCCUGGCUUUUCUUUGCCAUUUAAUCCUCUGUGCACCCAGCUCCAGACGGAUCAGCGGCUGAUUCCAUUGCAUAAGUGACUCACCUCUCUGCCGGGCCUCCGGGCCAGUUCCUCUCUCCACUAACUCUGUUGGGUGAGCUCAAUGGAGCCCCCGGGCCGAGAUGGGUCACUCCCAGCAAGGGCGGCCGGCUCUUUCUCUUUUCCCCUACCUCAGACAGCGACCCUCAUCCAAACUAGCCAUCUUGAGUCUUAAGGAUAUGGUCCAGGAAGGCUCCCUGGAGCAGAGAGAGCUGGGAAGGCGUUGGGUAGAUGGAAAGGAGAAGAAGGGAAUUUCUGGAAGAGGAAGCCAUGCAAACCAAAGCACAGACCAGAGUUCCCGCUAUAGGCCAGGCAUUGCUACAGCUGCAGGGUAGGUUGCAGCGCAGCUGGGAUCUGAUCCCUGGCCCAGGAACUUCAGAGGCUGCAGGAUGGCCAAAAAAUAAUAAAAUAAAAUAUAAAAUAAAACAAAACAGAAACAAAAUAGAAACAAAGCACAGAGUUACCUUGAAAGCAAGUUCAUAGCAAGGCCAUUCAGGGCUUCUGUUGGGAGACAGUGGGGGCGGGGCGGACACGCUAAGCUUGGGAGGCCAGGGUGGGAAUGAACUUGCCCUGGGCAGUGGGGGAGGAGGGGGCUGACUCAAUCCAUGAAAAAUGGCACAUGCUUCCUCGAGUUGGUGCAGAAUUGCCUCAAAUUUGUCAGGCUAAGCGAUGGUAAAGCAAGGACAGUCCUACAGUCUUACUUCUCACCCAUGCAAAGUUCACGGCAUUUGGUAGCUCUCAAGAAAAACUGCCCUCUGGGCAAUGAUGUAAUGAUUCAGCCUGUGGGAGCUUCCUGUGUCUCCGAGCGGCUACUGGCAAACUACUGCCCCCGGGCUGCCUCCUGUUUUUGUAAAUAAAGGUUUAUUGGGACAU
RNAcentral lists this long non-coding RNA (2733 nucleotides) under Sus scrofa (pig). Its description in RNAcentral is "lncRNA (ENSSSCG00050014659.1)". Lineage: Eukaryota; Metazoa; Chordata; Mammalia; Artiodactyla; Suidae. The record is from RNAcentral.